This is a long non-coding RNA of Cydia fagiglandana, 482 nucleotides long. RefSeq lists it as uncharacterized. The transcript is spliced from 2 exons. The record is from RefSeq and is a predicted model, not a curated record. Lineage: Eukaryota; Metazoa; Arthropoda; Insecta; Lepidoptera; Tortricidae.
CCGUCACUCAUUAGGGUUCCGUAGCCAAAUGGCAAAAAACGGAACCCUUAUAGAUUCGUCAUGUCUGUCCGUCUUUCCGUGUAUGUCACAGCCACUUUUUACCGAAACUAUAAGAACUACACUGUUGAAACUUGGUAAGUAGAUGUAUUCUGUGAACCGCGUUAAGAUUUUCACACAAAAAAACAAUAAAUUUUACUUACUUACUUAGAACUGAAACUCAAAUUUUUUUUCAUCAAACCCAUACGUGUGGGGUAUCUAUGGAUAGGUCUUCAAAAAUGAUAUUGAGGUUUCUGAUAUAAUUUUUUUCUAAACUGAAUAGUUUGCGCGAGAGACACUUCCAAAGUGUCCCCCCCCCCCUCUGUAACUUCUAAAAUAAGAGAAUGAAAAAUCUAAAAAAAAUAUAUGAUGUACAUUACCAUGCAAACUUCCACCGGAAAUUGGUUUGAACGAGAUCUGGUAAGUAGUUUUUUUUUAAUACGUCA